This 496-nucleotide ribosomal RNA is filed under the name uncultured bacterium. RNAcentral describes it as "partial 16S ribosomal RNA". It matches the Rfam family "Bacterial small subunit ribosomal RNA", at positions 29 to 507 of the family's 1533-position model. The record is from RNAcentral.
AUGAACGCUGGCGGCGUGCCUAAUACAUGCAAGUCGAGCGAACGGACGAGAAGCUUGCUUCUCUGAUGUUAGCGGCGGACGGGUGAGUAACACGUGGAUAACCUACCUAUAAGACUGGGAUAACUUCGGGAAACCGGAGCUAAUACCGGAUGAUAUUUUGAACCGCAUGGUUCAAAAGUGAAAGACGGUCUUGCUGUCACUUAUAGAUGGAUCCGCGCUGCAUUAGCUAGUUGGUAAGGUAACGGCUUACCAAGGCAACGAUGCAUAGCCGACCUGAGAGGGUGAUCGGCCACACUGGAACUGAGACACGGUCCAGACUCCUACGGGAGGCAGCAGUAGGGAAUCUUCCGCAAUGGGCGAAAGCCUGACGGAGCAACGCCGCGUGAGUGAUGAAGGUCUUCGGAUCGUAAAACUCUGCUAUUAGGGAAGAACAUAUGUGUAAGUAACUGUGCACAUCUUGACGGUACCUAAUCAGAAAGCCACGGCUAACUACGUG